Molecule: ribosomal RNA, 636 nt
Filed under: Vibrio alginolyticus
Lineage: Bacteria; Pseudomonadati; Pseudomonadota; Gammaproteobacteria; Vibrionales; Vibrionaceae
Description: bacterial SSU rRNA
Rfam family: Bacterial small subunit ribosomal RNA
Source: RNAcentral
AGCGGCGGACGGGUGAGUAAUGCCUAGGAAAUUGCCCUGAUGUGGGGGAUAACCAUUGGAAACGAUGGCUAAUACCGCAUGAUGCCUACGGGCCAAAGAGGGGGACCUUCGGGCCUCUCGCGUCAGGAUAUGCCUAGGUGGGAUUAGCUAGUUGGUGAGGUAAGGGCUCACCAAGGCGACGAUCCCUAGCUGGUCUGAGAGGAUGAUCAGCCACACUGGAACUGAGACACGGUCCAGACUCCUACGGGAGGCAGCAGUGGGGAAUAUUGCACAAUGGGCGCAAGCCUGAUGCAGCCAUGCCGCGUGUGUGAAGAAGGCCUUCGGGUUGUAAAGUACUUUCAGUCGUGAGGAAGGCGUUGUAGUUAAUAGCUGCAUCAUUUGACGUUAGCGACAGAAGAAGCACCGGCUAACUCCGUGCCAGCAGCCGCGGUAAUACGGAGGGUGCGAGCGUUAAUCGGAAUUACUGGGCGUAAAGCGCAUGCAGGUGGUUUGUUAAGUCAGAUGUGAAAGCCCGGGGCUCAACCUCGGAAUAGCAUUUGAAACUGGCAGACUAGAGUACUGUAGAGGGGGGUAGAAUUUCAGGUGUAGCGGUGAAAUGCGUAGAGAUCUGAAGGAAUACCGGUGGCGAAGGCGGCC